GUAGGUGAACCUGCGGAAGGAUCAUUCACACAAUCCAAACAAACCUAAACUAAUCCUAGUUUGUGUUAGAGUCUUCGGAUUCUAGCAUAGUUAAACCUAUCCAAAGGAAUUUAACUGAUAGCUUCCACAAAUUACAUUUUCAACAGUGGAUGUCUAGGCUUCCAUAUCGAUGAAGAGCGCAGCAAAGUGCGAUAAGCAAUGCGAAUUGCAGACUGUGAGUCAUUAGGAUCUUGAACGUAACUUGCGCCGGCCUUUGGUCGGCAUGCUUGCUUCAGUGUAUCUUUAGUCAAUGAACUAAAUCUUAAUGCAAUUGAGUACUAGUACUCUCUUGUUAAAUACGAAAGCACGCUGUUUUUACAGGUAGUCCUCGGACUACGCUCAAUGCAGCCGUCACUUUUAGUGAACUCAUUGGGAGUAAGGACAAGCAGGUCUCGGCCAGCGAGUGCUUAGAGUUUAGUAACUCUUUUUUAUCUGAAGUCAAGUGAGGGUACCCGCUGAACUUAAGCAUAUCAGUA
RNAcentral lists this ribosomal RNA (515 nucleotides) under Strombidinopsis batos. RNAcentral's name for it is "eukaryotic LSU rRNA". The stretch from base 135 to 280 matches the Rfam family "5.8S ribosomal RNA". Lineage: Eukaryota; Ciliophora; Spirotrichea; Choreotrichida; Strombidinopsidae. The record is from RNAcentral.